ACCCUACGGGGCGCAGCAGUGGGGGAUAUUGGACAAUGGGGGAAACCCUGAUCCAGCGAUGCCGCGUGAGGGAAGAAGGUUUUCGGAUUGUAAACCUCUGUGGAGGGGGACGAUAAUGACGGUACCCCUUUAGGAAGCCACGGCUAACUACGUGCCAGCAGCCGCGGUAAUACGGAAGGUCCGGGCGUUAUCCGGAUUUAUUGGGUUUAAAGGGGGCGUAGGCCGGCUUUUAAGUCAGCUGUGAAAGUCCGCGGCUCAGCCGUGGAAUUGCAGUUGAAACUGGAGGCCUUGAGUG
This 295-nucleotide ribosomal RNA is filed under the name uncultured bacterium. RNAcentral describes it as "partial 16S ribosomal RNA". It matches the Rfam family "Bacterial small subunit ribosomal RNA", at positions 335 to 648 of the family's 1533-position model. The record is from RNAcentral.